Molecule: non-coding RNA, 1994 nt
Organism: Electrophorus electricus (electric eel)
Lineage: Eukaryota; Metazoa; Chordata; Actinopteri; Gymnotiformes; Gymnotidae
Source: RefSeq, a predicted model, not a curated record
AUAGACCGUAAUCAAUAAAAGGCGAUAAACAUAAAAACAGAUAUGUAAAAAUUCAAGAAAUACUCAGUAUUCAUUAGGGUGAACUUAGAGGAUCGUAGAACAUUUUAUUAAUUUGUAGUUUAUGUAUGUUUGACAAAUAUUGCUGGGUAUGUAAAUACGAGGGGCGUAAUGUCUUUUCAGCGGGAGAUGAAGAAAUGACCCAAAGUCUGUGGUGCUGGUACACUGAUCAGACGAAUUACUCACCAGUUCAAACUGUGCUUUCAUCCCAUACAGCACAUUUCCAGCAUGUCGUGGGAAAUAGUGCAAAGAAACCAAUGACUUAAAACGUCAUGUUGUCGAUGUACAUUUGCAUUUUAAAAUCAUUCUGUACUUUAUUAUGAUUCAUGAUGGUAUAUUUAUGUUUUUUUCUGAUCAUGUAAAAGAUAAAUUUGACAUGUUAUAUUUCAGUACUGACUGAUAAACAAUAACUUUUAUUCUAUUCUAUUGUAAACGAUUCUCUUAUAUUCCGUUUUACAGAACUUUGGUAACCGCUUAGGUAACUCUUGGCCAAGGUACGAACUACGCUGUGUUAGAACUGUAAAUUGAUCCACUCCGCUAGCGGUUGUCACUGGUUGGUUGCGGGGUCUUGCGCUCCGCUGCGCCCGCAGGCUGUCCAGGGCUGUCCAGGGCUGUCCAGAGGUCAGUCCUCCCUGUCAUUUAAAAACGCAUGAAACUCGACACCGAAGGACAGUUGCGCAACCCAAAGCGAUUUACAGCCUGUUGCUAAUGCUAACUUUUUAUCCGGCUUCAAAUAAAUUAAAAAUAAAUGCACGAAUGAAUAAAUAUCCGCGAUUAUUCGUCUUGUUGUUGUUGCUGUUGUUGUUGUUGUUGAUGAUGAUGAUGAUGAUGAUGAUGAUGAUGAUGACGACGAUGGUGAUGAUGCAGCUGUUAUGGUCAGUUCUUGUUUUUAAGAUUUUGUAAUAAUUAAUUUCGUCAAGAGCUGGAGGUGUAGAGGUUCGUGCCGGAUGUGCGCGAAGAAGAUUGGGAGUGCAUGUCUCGAGCAGCAGGGGUGUAGAGGCAUAAUGGAGAGCAGGAAACAACUUUUUCUUCGGUGCAGUACAGGCGUCACUCUUGCAGGAGGAUAGCACGAAGGUCUCCUCGCAUUGCUCACCCUCCAAAAAACGAGACGAAUACCCGUGAGAUACUCUGUCUCUCGAUGCGCAAAUAAAAUAGGUAAUGUUGAUUAUAAAAAAGUGUAACUACCGGAUAAUUCGCCUGUUCUCUUCUGCCCAUCUAUUACCCUUCUUCAACUCUAAUGAUUGCAUGAAAAAAAAAAUGAAGCAAGUGAUGAUGAAUUAUAUUACAGGAGCGUUUAAUCGCUGGGAGGGAUAUUCCGUCAUUCAUUAUCACUGGCUCAGGGUGAUGAUGUAUGACUCACUUAUAUAGAUGUGAUGCUCUCAUAAAAAUGAUUUCAUUAUUUCUAGUUUUCAUUAUCGGUGUUAUUGUAUUCCGCUACACUCAAAGUUGGAGCCUUUGAACUGAUUGAUGUCUUUUUUGUGUCUUUGCUGACAAGAUACACAAAAUACUGCGCAAUUCGACGCAAUUUUGCCCACUCAAUUUGGACUAUAAAUGACCAGUGUGGAUGUGACCAUAAGGAAGACGGGAAAUAUGGAAAUGUGGAUCAUUUAAUUAGUUUUGUUUAGAUUGUGAUGUUGACCUGCUCAGAUAAACCCCAGUGGACGCUAUACGUUUAAUUAAAAUGUCACGUGUGUUAGCUUGUGUUGAACACCCAACCACGUUCACAUAAUACCAUAUGGGAUUUUUCUUUAAAGUUGGUUUUUUUCUUCUGUUUAUGACUUAAAUAAAAGGUUUCUGGGUAAAAUCCUGGUCAUUAUAACAAUGAUCUGAAUUUGGCGUCCUGAAAAUGUGAAUUAUACGAUCGUUUCCUAACAUGUGUUAGAUUAGGUUGUAUGUGCUGUAAAAUUAAUUUUUCACAUAUAUAGCUUCGCAUUAAA